GACGAACGCUGGCGGCGUGCCUAAUACAUGCAAGUAGAACGCUGAAGGAGGAGCUUGCUCUUCUGGAUGAGUUGCGAACGGGUGAGUAACGCGUAGGUAACCUGCCUGGUAGCGGGGGAUAACUAUUGGAAACGAUAGCUAAUACCGCAUAACAGUAGAUGUUGCAUGACAUUUGCUUAAAAGGUGCAAUUGCACCACUACCAGAUGGACCUGCGUUGUAUUAGCUAGUUGGUGGGGUAACGGCUCACCAAGGCGACGAUACAUAGCCGACCUGAGAGGGGGAUCGGCCACACUGGGACUGAGACACGGCCCAGACUCCUACGGGAGGCAGCAGGAGGGAAUCUUCGGCAAUGGACGGAAGUCUGACCGAGCAACGCCGCGUGAGUGAAGAAGGUUGUCGGAUCGUAAAGCUCUGUUGUAAGAGAAGAACGAGUGUGAGAGUGGAAAGUUCACACUGUGACGGUAUCUUACCAGAAAGGGACGGCUAACUACGUG
Molecule: ribosomal RNA, 495 nt
Filed under: uncultured bacterium
Lineage: Bacteria
Description: partial 16S ribosomal RNA
Rfam family: Bacterial small subunit ribosomal RNA
Source: RNAcentral